AUUGAACGCUGGCGGCAUGCCUUACACAUGCAAGUCGAACGGUAACAGGUCUUCGGAUGCUGACGAGUGGCGAACGGGUGAGUAAUACAUCGGAACGUGCCUAGUAGUGGGGGAUAACUACUCGAAAGAGUGGCUAAUACCGCAUGAGAUCUACGGAUGAAAGCAGGGGAUCGCAAGACCUUGUGCUACUAGAGCGGCCGAUGGCAGAUUAGGUAGUUGGUGGGAUAAAAGCUUACCAAGCCGACGAUCUGUAGCUGGUCUGAGAGGACGAUCAGCCACACGGGGACUGAGACACGGCCCAGACUCCUACGGGAGGCAGCAGUGGGGAAUUUUGGACAAGGGGCGCAAGCCUGAGCCAGCAAUGCCGCGUGCAGGAUGAAGGCCUUCGGGUUGUAAACUGCUUUUGUACGGAACGAAAAGCCCCGGGUUAAUACCCUGGGGUCAUGACGGUACCGUAAGAAUAAGCACCGGCUAACUACGUGCCAGCCGCCGCCGUAA
This 498-nucleotide ribosomal RNA is filed under the name uncultured bacterium. RNAcentral describes it as "partial 16S ribosomal RNA". It matches the Rfam family "Bacterial small subunit ribosomal RNA", at positions 30 to 523 of the family's 1533-position model. The record is from RNAcentral.